This 459-nucleotide ribosomal RNA is filed under the name uncultured bacterium. RNAcentral describes it as "partial 16S ribosomal RNA". It matches the Rfam family "Bacterial small subunit ribosomal RNA", at positions 338 to 795 of the family's 1533-position model. The record is from RNAcentral.
CCUACGGGUGGCUGCAGUGAGGAAUAUUGGUCAAUGGCCGGAAGGCUGAACCAGUCAUGCCGCGUGAAGGUUAGUGCCCUUUGGGCGUUAAACUUCUUUUGUUCGGGAACAAUAAUGGUCCAUUGUACCCCUAAUCACGUUCCGUACGAAUAACCGUCGGCUAACUCCGUUCCAGCAGCCGCGGUAAGACGGGGGAUGCAAGCGUUAUCCGGGUUUAUUGGGUUUAAAGGGGGCGUAGGCGGUUCUGUAAGUCAGAGGUGAAAUGCCCCCGCGCAACGGGUUGAAGUGGAUUGAUACUGCCAUGCUGGAAUACGGAUGCGGUGGGAGGAAUGCGUGGUGUAGCGGUGAAAUGCAUAGAGAUCACAAAGAACACCGAGUGCGAAGGCAUCUUACUAAAACGUGAUUGACGCUGAUGCACGAAAGCGUGGGUAGCAAACAGGAUUAGAUACCCGGGUAGUC